Molecule: ribosomal RNA, 253 nt
Filed under: uncultured bacterium
Lineage: Bacteria
Description: partial 16S ribosomal RNA
Rfam family: Bacterial small subunit ribosomal RNA
Source: RNAcentral
UACGAGGGGGGCAAGCGUUGUUCGGAAUUAUUGGGCGUAAAGGGCGCGUAGGCGGACCUCCAAGUCCGGGGUGAAAUCUUUCGGCUUAACCGGAAAAGUGCCUUGGAUACUGGGGGUCUCGAGGGAGGCAGGGGCGGAUGGAACUUCCGGUGGAGCGGUGAAAUGCGUUGAUAUCGGAAGGAACGCCGGUGGCGAAAGCGAUCCGCUGGACCUCUUCUGACGCUGAGGCGCGAAAGCCAGGGGAGCAAACGGG